This 3611-nucleotide long non-coding RNA is filed under the name Zea mays. RNAcentral's name for it is "long non-coding RNA (ZMAY_LNC005246)". The record is from RNAcentral. Lineage: Eukaryota; Viridiplantae; Streptophyta; Magnoliopsida; Poales; Poaceae.
GAGCCAGCGAGCCACGAGCAUUUUGUCCAGCCCUAGCCUCAGGGGCGGCCGGGCGGGCGCACUCCUCCUCGAGGCUCGUUUCCGCUGCGGCGGAGAGGAAUGGGAAGCGGGCGUCGCCUUCCCUAGCGCUCCCUCGCCGCGCCCGCGGCGGCCUCCCCGGCCCCCUGUAUCUUCUCGAUCCGGUAAGCCCCCGAGUCCCUGAUCCCCAAAUCUAUCGUGGUCCUGAUCUUAAUUUUGGAGCCGUGAUGAGGCGCCAGUGGGAUUAUUUCUUGGUUCACGAGUUCGAUUAGAAGCGUAUUUUUUUUGGUUGGAUUCUGAUCAUGCACGUUUAAUCGUAUAUGGAUGAGUUAAAAGACCUAACGCGGCUCAAUUUAGCUCGCCCUUCGCCAACUGGUAGUAGUGGGUACUGGUAGAUUAGAGCAACUGGGGCUUGGGAAUCGGUUCGAUCACAUCACUCGGGUUUCAGAGACCUAACAAUAACUGACAUCAUUUCUUAUUAGUUUACGUACACGUGGUUCCAUGUCAAGUUGUCAACCAAUCACUUGCGAUUUCAGUUCCUCGUAGACCGCAACUAACGAUUGGUCAGGGCUUCAGGCCAUCCAUCGACCCCAAACCCACGUUCUCUAGAUUCUAUAGUGCAGCUUUGUUUGUUAAUUAUCCUUAAUUAUGAGGGGCCUAGAUUCAGUGCUCAGUUAUGCACCCCAAGUCAAUCUCUCGCAACUAUAUUAUGUGCAUGCAUCUUAAAUAAAUAAAGUCCGGUCCCCUCUGUUUUCAACUGAUGAAUAGAUAAACUAUAGCCUUGCAAAGGAGACUUGGAUUCCGUAUACGUUCCGGUUUUGCAUGUGCAUCUUACCUUUGAACUGAUAGAUGAACAUGCGUAGUUUAAAUCAUAAGAAUUGGUGAGCAGUACUGUUUUGACGUACCUGUUUUCUGACGGGGCAUCCUGCUGCCACUGUACACCGGUAGUAGGCGCGGGGGCACGGGUUCCCCUUGGCUACCUUCUGCCCGUACUUUCUCCAUUGGCAUCCGUCGUUCAUCUGAUCAACAAUCCAAAGCACAUGUUCACGCUGUAGCUACUUCCGAUACAUGCAUAUCAAGCAGACAUCUAUGAUACGUGCAUCUCUGUCGGAUGAAAUACACAUGUCUACGACAACAUACCGUUGGUGCAUCACACCUUGCCCUUACGGACACCCUUGUCUUCUUGGUCUGUGGCAGCAGUGGGCCUACGUCGUCGUCAUCCUCAGGUUCCGUGGCGCCGACGUUCCUCGACUUCUUCUGCGUGUUGCUUGGCAGCCAUUGCCGGUCUGCUGCCUCCGUGGUGUCGUCGUCCUUGGCGUCCUCGGAGCUAGCUUCAGGGCUCAAGGUCGUCACAUCGGGCUGGACCUUUCCAGUGUUAUUAGCCGCGCCAUCGUCAUCUUUGCGGGCUGAUGAUGACAGUCCGAGUGACAGGCCUUCUUCUUCUUUAACACCCAUCAUCAAGUAGUCUUCCCUCCAUUUUCCUUCGGCAGCACUGAUGAUGACGCUCUUCUCUUCCUUCUUGUGCGUGCCUGUGCCCGUGCCGAGGCUCAGCGAGACGAAUUCGGACUCCUCGAUGCCGGUGGGUGGCGUGAUGGUCGAGGGCCGGUGGUCAGCAAGCUUCUUCUCCAUGGGUUCUCCUUUUUGAAGAACGUCGUGGAACUGUAAUUGGAGAGACCGGUAGUCCUCUACGAUGCGUGACAGCAUUGUCUUUAGCCUCUUGUUCUCUUCUCUUACCUCACCCAUCUCUGCCCUUGUGGAUGCAAGGUUAUCUUUGUCGACCUGAAGACAUCACAAAUGCACAGCUAUGAGAUCGGUAGCCAUUAAUUCCUUAACCAAGUCACAUACGAUAAUGAACUUCUGAAGGUUAUUGGUAUAAGCACAAUGCCUCUUGACCUUGUUAUGAGCCUUCAAAUUAGUUGAGGUUUGAUUUGAUGCUUCGUCCAUUUCGGACUUUUCCCUUAGGCAAGGGGAGCUUGCCUAGUAAGGCACAAAAAACGGCUGAUCAGAAUAAUGGAUCCGAUAAUAUAAUAAGGUAAAGAAACUAGAAUUAAUCCCCUCAUGUUUAGCCAUGCAUGAAUUGCUUUCAUGCAUGGUUAAUGGAUCAUUGAAUAUAUAUGUUUAUAAUAACAGUUUGGCACCUCUUUUCUUGAACUUGAUUUGUGUGAGGACUUAAACAAAUUGGCAUCCAGGAUACGGUCAUCAUUUCUGAUCUGUAACAGUAACAUGGAAAGUUGUUUUGGUAAGAACAGCAAAGAAAGCCAUGGAUAAAUAUCUGAGGACCGACUGUACAUAUAUGGGGCGGAGACCAUUCCAGUUUAGUUUCUUCACAUGUUUUUUUGUGUUAUUUACAUAUACACCAGACUUUGUGGUUCCUGAUAUUUGGUUGGGCACUUGGUUGAUUUCGACAUCAGAAUUUGCUCUUGAACAUGCCUUCCUCUAAGGCUUAUUCUCAUUCCAUAUGGAUUGGAUGGAUUAAAAAAAUAUAAACUUUUUUACUUGUUAUAGAUUUAAAUUCACUCAAUCCCGUCUAUAUGGAUUGUGAAUUUGUGAUCGAAACAAAACAUGUCGUAAUCGAUCCUAGUUCCAAUCAUAUAUUCAUAUCUAUAUAUUUAUUCUAGGAGAACUGCAAAUCUGAAGGAAGUCCCUUUACAUAUACUGUAGAUGAAGAGCAACAAUAGAAACUCGCUGUGUCCUGAACUCAUCAUACAUAAUCGAUCGAACGAAAACACAACUAAAUGAAACUCUUGAGAAGUAAAUCACAGACAAACAAAACGAGAAAAAUACCAGACCUCGCUUGUUAACUGCUCCUCGUGGCUUCCAGACUGCUGCUGCCCCCUAAACAUCUCUCUCCUCUUUGACAGAAGCUAGCUAAUAACUGCCUAACUUCCCUCUAGCUCAUCCAGUUCUCUCUCUUCAGAUCUCUUUGUUCCUGCAGCGGUCUAUUGCUUAUAAAGAUAGGCCGCUGCUGCACAGCCUCGUGCGUGUCUCUCUCUCUCCUAUUUGGACUUUGGCAUAAAAGAAGUCGUAUCGUAACCCGGUGCUAACCUAUGUUAGGCGGUCAACGUCUGAUAAUGUCAAAUAUCUAUCGCUGCACUCUUCCAUGGCUUCUUUUAUGUGGAUUUCAACGUGUGCAACAUGUUGCUCUUGUUUUUUUUUGGCUGCGUCCAGAGUCCAGACUGCAUGCGUACGGCCAGCUGGACUGGAGGAGCGCGGGCCGGUCCACAGUUAAUGUCCGUAUGAAGCUUCCCAGGAGUCGUCACAUCAGCCGACCAUUAGAAAACUGUCUUAACAUGGAAGAACUUGAUUUUCAAAGUUUCAAACGUUGGACCUUUAAACAAUAGGGUGCUUUAUAGGCAACCGGUAAUUUGGUACCCAUAGGAUAUAUAGUACCCAUAAAGCUAGCCGUCUUUUUUUUGAUAUUUAGCCUUUUUUUGAAAAAGUUUUUUACAAGUAUAUCCUUUUCGGUUUAAAUUCAGAAAAUAGACUCUUACCUCGACACCAUCACUAUUGGCACCGAGGUUACAUGACGCCAAUAUAGAUGACACCGAGGUAUCGCUCCGGAGCGCCGAUGUGGCGCCUACGUGCCAGGAGUC